RNAcentral lists this ribosomal RNA (600 nucleotides) under uncultured bacterium. RNAcentral's name for it is "bacterial SSU rRNA". It matches the Rfam family "Bacterial small subunit ribosomal RNA", at positions 94 to 694 of the family's 1533-position model. The record is from RNAcentral.
AGCGGCGUACGGGUGCGGAACACGUGUGCACUGCUUUAUCUGGGGGAUAGCCUUUCGAAAGGAAGAUAAUACCCCAUAAUAUGUUGAAUGGCAUCAUUCGACAUUGAAAACUCCGGUGGAUAGAGAUGGGCACGCGCAAGAUUAGAUAGUUGGUGAGGUAACGGCUCACCAAGUCUACGAUCUUUAGGGGGCCUGAGAGGGUGAUCCCCCACACUGGUACUGAGACACGGACCAACUCCUACGGGAGGCAGCAGUGAGGAAUAUUGGACAAUGGGUGAGAGCCUGAUCCAGCCAUCCCGCGUGAAGGACGACUGCCCUAUGGGUUGUAAACUUCUUUUGUNUAGGGAUAAACCUACCUCGUGAGGUACUGAGGUACUAUACAAUUAACACGGUUACUCGUGCCAACGGUAUAACGGGAGGGGUGCAAGGCGUUAUCCCGGGAUUUUAUUGGGGGUUUAAAAGGGGGUCCCGUAAGGGGGAUUCCGUAAUUCCGGGUGGAAUUUCCCCGUUUUAAUUGGGAAAUUGGGCCUGGAUAUCGGCGGGUUUCGGGUUUGNUGUAAUUACUGGGGAAAAAUUUUGGGAAAUGGGUUAUUUUUUUUA